GGGCCCGCACAAGCGGUGGAGCAUGUGGUUUAAUUCGAUGAUACGCGAGGAACCUUACCAGGGUUUAAAUGCAGAACGACAGGGUGGAAACACCCCCUUCUUCGGACGGACUGCAAGGUGCUGCAUGGUUGUCGUCAGCUCGUGCUGUGAAGUGUCGGGUUAAGUCCCAUAACGAGCGCAACCCCCAUUUCUAGUUGCCAGCGGUUCGGCCGGGGACUCUAGAGAAACUGCCAGCGUAAGCUGUGAGGAAGGUGGGGAUGACGUCAAAUCAUCACGGCCCUUACAUCCUGGGCCACACACGUGCUACAAUGGUGGGGACAACAGGUUGCCAACCCGCGAGGGUGAGCUAAUCUCCAAAAGUCGUCUCAGUUCGGAUUGUCCUCUGCAACUCGAGGGCAUG
RNAcentral lists this ribosomal RNA (400 nucleotides) under uncultured bacterium. RNAcentral describes it as "bacterial SSU rRNA". It matches the Rfam family "Bacterial small subunit ribosomal RNA", at positions 917 to 1322 of the family's 1533-position model. The record is from RNAcentral.